Molecule: ribosomal RNA, 416 nt
Filed under: uncultured Bacteroidota bacterium
Lineage: Bacteria; Pseudomonadati; Bacteroidota
Description: bacterial SSU rRNA
Rfam family: Bacterial small subunit ribosomal RNA
Source: RNAcentral
GAGGCAGCAGUGAGGAAUAUUGGUCAAUGGGCGAGAGCCUGAACCAGCCAAGUAGCGUGAAGGAUGACUGCCCUAUGGGUUGUAAACUUCUUUUAUAAAGGAAUAAAGUCGGGUAUGGAUACCCGUUUGCAUGUACUUUAUGAAUAAGGAUCGGCUAACUCCGUGCCAGCAGCCGCGGUAAUACGGAGGAUCCGAGCGUUAUCCGGAUUUAUUGGGUUUAAAGGGAGCGUAGAUGGAUGUUUAAGUCAGUUGUGAAAGUUUGCGGCUCAACCGUAAAAUUGCAGUUGAUACUGGAUAUCUUGAGUGCAGUGGAGGCAGGCGGAAUUGGUGGUGUAGCGGUGAAAUGCUUAGAUAUCACGAAGAACUCCGAUCGCGAAGGCAUUGUGCCGGGGCAUAACUGACGCUGAGGCUCGAAA